CCCCCCCCUCUUUCUCAUAGACUUCUCUCUUUCUCAUUCCUUCUCUUUUCCGUUUCCAUUUCUCUCUUCCGUUUUGUCCCUUCUCUUCCGCCAUUGCUUUUAUUUUCUUUCCUUCCAUUGCUCGAGUCGUGAAGGACUGCUGCUUGGUUCGUACUAUGGAGGGUGCUUCGUUCGCACUUGAUUUUCUUCGAUCCAAGUUAGUUUCUUUCCUUUUUUUUAUUUAUAUGUUUGUUUGAUAAAUUGAUUUUUAUAUAUGUGUGUGUAGAACCCUGAAGGCCAACGGGUCUGAGAAAUUUGUUCCACCUUCAACAGAAAUGGACAUCCGUAGAUGGACGUGGAUAUCAGUUGAAGGUUCAACGGAUAUCCAUUUUUGUGCCUCUGCUAUUCUCUUGUUUUAAUUUUUUAUUUAUUUUUAGUUUAUUAAUUAUUAUUUUUUAUGUAGAUUUAUUUGUUUGAAGUUUUAGAUGUAGUUGAUUUAAUAAUUUUUAUAUAUUUAUUUAUAAAGAAUAAAAAUGGUUUUGUUAUAAAAAAUAAACCGAAAUGGUUGAAGGCUUAAACGAAAAUGGAAGAUCUGUUUCGCCUUCAAUAAAUCUUCCACUUCCAUUUUUUUUAACGUUUUAACUAUGGUAGUUCAAUUUUUACUGAAGGACAAUUGUGGAAUGGGGUGGUGCAGAAAGAAAUAUAUGGUGGUGUAGGGAG
RNAcentral lists this long non-coding RNA (699 nucleotides) under Vigna radiata. RNAcentral describes it as "long non-coding RNA (VRAD_LNC010934)". Lineage: Eukaryota; Viridiplantae; Streptophyta; Magnoliopsida; Fabales; Fabaceae. The record is from RNAcentral.